RNAcentral lists this unclassified non-coding RNA (353 nucleotides) under soil metagenome. RNAcentral describes it as "partial contains 5.8S ribosomal RNA, internal transcribed spacer 2, and large subunit ribosomal RNA". The stretch from base 1 to 120 matches the Rfam family "5.8S ribosomal RNA", at positions 35 to 154 of the family's 154-position model. The record is from RNAcentral.
GAUGAAGAACGUAGCGAAAUGCGAUACGUAGUGUGAAUUGCAGAAUUCAGUGAAUCAUCGAAUCUUUGAACGCACAUUGCGCCCGCCAGUAUUCUGGCGGGCAUGCCUGUCCGAGCGUCAUUUCAACCCUCGAACCCCUCCGGGGGGUCGGCGUUGGGGAUCGGCCCUUUCACCGGGUGCCGGCCCCUAAAUACAGUGGCGGUCUCGCCGCAGCCUCUCAUGCGCAGUAGUUUGCACACUCGCACCGGGAGCGCGGCGCGUCCUCGUCCGUAAAACACCCCAAACUUCUGAAAUGUUGACCUCGGAUCAGGUAGGAAUACCCGCUGAACUUAAGCAUAUCAAUAAGCGGAGGA